AUGGAAGACUACUUCUCCAAGGUACCUACAUACCCUCCUCGUCUCUUCCGCAGAAGGUACCGAAUGCAGCGUAGUUUGUUUGUGAAGAUUGUCACCGAUUAUGAGGCCGCCUCAUAUUACUUUAAACAUCGUAGAUCCGCCGCCGGUAUCAUGGGGUUUAGUGCAUAUCAAAAGAUAUCGGCGGCAAUGUGGGUACUCGCUUAUGGAUGCUAG
This 213-nucleotide ribosomal RNA is filed under the name Triticum aestivum (bread wheat). RNAcentral's name for it is "partial small subunit ribosomal RNA". Lineage: Eukaryota; Viridiplantae; Streptophyta; Magnoliopsida; Poales; Poaceae. The record is from RNAcentral.